CAUGUACUCCCUCCGUUCGGAAAUACUUGUCGAGAAAAUAGAUAAAAAUAAAUGUAUCUAGAACAUAAAUAUGUCUAGAUACAUCCAUCUCCGCGACAAGUAUUUCUGGACAGAGGGAGUGUAUA
Triticum aestivum (bread wheat) is the source of this 125-nucleotide non-coding RNA. The record is from Rfam. Lineage: Eukaryota; Viridiplantae; Streptophyta; Magnoliopsida; Poales; Poaceae.